UUAUUCGCUGAGCUCCCGACAGACCGGGAGACGGGGGAACCAAAAUCGCCAAUUUUCGAUUGGUGAAUGGGGUGAAUCCGCUGCGCCAAGGAUCGAAAGGGCCCAGUGGUAGGGUGCUCUCAGCCCGAAUCCGUCAGCUAACCUCGUAGGCGCGUUUUGAGAGA
RNAcentral lists this small RNA (164 nucleotides) under Paenibacillus lautus. Its description in RNAcentral is "ydaO/yuaA leader". It matches the Rfam family "c-di-AMP riboswitch aptamer (ydaO/yuaA leader)", at positions 11 to 130 of the family's 134-position model. From Rfam's summary of the family: This family represents a conserved RNA structure found upstream of the ydaO and yuaA genes in Bacillus subtilis and related genes in other bacteria. The ydaO/yuaA element is thought to act as a genetic "off" switch for the ydaO and yuaA genes in its native state. It is believed that the element may be triggered during osmotic shock leading to activation of ydaO, a predicted amino acid transporter gene, and members of the yuaA-yubG operon which code for KtrA and KtrB K+ transporters. Lineage: Bacteria; Bacillati; Bacillota; Bacilli; Caryophanales; Paenibacillaceae. The record is from RNAcentral.